Molecule: ribosomal RNA, 468 nt
Filed under: uncultured bacterium
Lineage: Bacteria
Description: partial 16S ribosomal RNA
Rfam family: Bacterial small subunit ribosomal RNA
Source: RNAcentral
GACGAACGCUGGCGGCGUGCUUAACACAUGCAAGUCGAACGGACAGGCCCUGCUUUUGUUGGUUGCUCGAUUGGCGCACGCGUGAGUAUCACGUGUGUAUCCUCCCCUUGACUUUCUGAUAACUUCAGGAAACUCGGGCUAAUAUCCGGUAUGAGCUCCUGCUGCAUGGUGUUGAUUGGAAAGUUUCGGCGUUUGGGGAUGUACUCGCGGCUUAUCAGCUUGUUGGUGGGGUAGUUGCUUACCAAGGCUGUGACGGGUAGCCGGCCUGGGAGGGGGACCGGGCACAAGGGGACUGAGGGACGGACCAGAAGCGAAUGGGAGGCAGUAGGGGGGAGUAUGGCAGAGUGGGCGGAAGCGAGAGGCAGAAACGCCGGGAGCGGGAAGAUGGCUUUCGGGGGGUAAACAGAUGUGGAAGGAGACGAAGAGAGAGUGACGGUAACGGGUAAAGAAGCAACGGCUAACUACGUG